Molecule: ribosomal RNA, 324 nt
Filed under: Triticum aestivum (bread wheat)
Lineage: Eukaryota; Viridiplantae; Streptophyta; Magnoliopsida; Poales; Poaceae
Description: partial small subunit ribosomal RNA
Source: RNAcentral
AUGUAUUCAAUCAAACAGACAAUUUACAGAUCAAACUUCUUUUUAUUUUGGAAUUGUUGCAAAAUAGAGAGGCCAAGAAACUCUCUUGUUGAUCUCUCAGUUAAUCUUCCUCAAACAAAGAGGCAUAUAGUUUAUAAUUUGUUGUACAUGCUUCUCAAAUUGGUGUUGCUGCUACCAGUGUCGACCGCAAGUGUUGAAAGAGCAUUUUCUGCAAUGAGUUUGGUCAAGAGCAAGCCAAGAAAUAAGAUGGUUGAUAGUCUGUUGGAUGAUUAUCUAGUCACAUACAUUGAGCGAGAUGCUUUUUCCAAAGUGAUGAUGAUAUAA